UAGGGGGUGGCUUCCAUCUGGAAGAAUCUGGAGACAGGUGCUGCAUGGCUGUCGUCAGCUCGUGUCGUGAGAUGUUCGGGUUAAGUCCCGCAACGAGCGCAACCCUUGCCUUUAGUUGCCAGCAGUUCGGCUGGGCACUCUAAAGGGACUGCCGGUGUUAAACCGGAGGAAGGUGGGGAUGACGUCAAGUCCUCAUGGCCUUUAUGUCCAGGGCGACACACGUGCUACAAUGGCCGGCACAACGGGAAGCGAGUUCGCGAGGACAAGCGGAUCCCUUAAAGCCGGUCGCAGUUCGGAUUGAAGUCUGCAACUCGACUUCAUGAAGCUGGAAUCGCUAGUAAUCGUGGAUCAGCCAAGCCGCGGUGAAUACGUUCCCGGGCCUU
This 383-nucleotide ribosomal RNA is filed under the name uncultured Desulfobulbus sp. RNAcentral describes it as "bacterial SSU rRNA". It matches the Rfam family "Bacterial small subunit ribosomal RNA", at positions 1005 to 1382 of the family's 1533-position model. Lineage: Bacteria; Pseudomonadati; Thermodesulfobacteriota; Desulfobulbia; Desulfobulbales; Desulfobulbaceae. The record is from RNAcentral.